CCCUACGGGGUGCAGCAGGGUUACUCCUUCCUGCCUGAGUUCCUUGAUAUACUUUCUGCCAAUUACGGUGCUGGUCUGAAAGCGGUUGACUUUGCCAAUGACCCCGAAGCAGCCCGGGAAAUGAUCAAUUUGUGGGUGGCAGCGCAAACCAACGAAAAAAUUAAGGGCCUGAUCCCACCUGGCACAUUGAAUGAACUUACUCGCUUGGUCUUAACCAAUGCGGUUUACUUCAAGGCAGCCUGGCAGACACAGUUCGAUCCAGCCGACACUGCGGAGGGCAGCUUUACCCUGCUGGAUGGUUCUGUCAUUCAGGUGCCGAUGAUACACCGGAUAGGUAACAUGAACGCUGCUGUUGAAAGCGGCGUAAAGUUGGUUGAACUGCCUUACGAAGGAGGUAUGUACUCCAUGGUCAUCCUGAUGCCCGAAGCCGAGAGC
Molecule: ribosomal RNA, 435 nt
Filed under: uncultured prokaryote
Description: partial 16S ribosomal RNA
Source: RNAcentral